This 579-nucleotide long non-coding RNA is filed under the name Capsicum annuum. Its description in RNAcentral is "long non-coding RNA (CANN_LNC019710)". The record is from RNAcentral. Lineage: Eukaryota; Viridiplantae; Streptophyta; Magnoliopsida; Solanales; Solanaceae.
GCCCGUUGAGUCAGCAUAGCUUUAUAUAGCAGAAUAAGGUGGCGAACCUAGACGAAAAUUUAUAAUUAUUGAAUAAAUGCAUAUUGAUGCUUAUUACUCAGCCUUUAAUGAAUCCCAGAGUUUCAUUCUUAACAUGCCCUAUGAAUUUCAUUAUUUGCCACCCUGUCAGAUGUCUUGGAAGAGUUUCUCAAAAUUCAAAAACAUAUCAUUUUUUUCUCUGUCAUAACUAUUUAGCACUUGAGCGGAGGGUCCUUUUGUAUAAACUCUACCCUCCACAGAUCCCGCUUGUUGAAAUUGAAAUCUCACUGGGUAUGUUGUUGUAGAAACAGUGAAAUAAGACAUUCUGAUGUAAGUUUGUCAAUAUUCCAUGCUUGAUUCAUUGUUUCGCAAUUGGUGAAAAUAAAACUUUAAAACUGCAUUUGUGGACAGGAGGAGCCCAAGCACGAAUCAGGGGCGGAUUUAGGACAUGUAUCGUCGGUUCAACUGAUGGCUAUAGAGUUGAAUAAGAAUACAGAGAGUUGUAGACACAUAAACUCAAAUAGGUACCAUCAGUCACACUGAUAAUAAUCAAGACUGCAA